This 1066-nucleotide long non-coding RNA is filed under the name Triticum aestivum (bread wheat). RNAcentral's name for it is "long non-coding RNA (TAES_LNC014167)". The record is from RNAcentral. Lineage: Eukaryota; Viridiplantae; Streptophyta; Magnoliopsida; Poales; Poaceae.
UUUCUGAUGAGAUGAAUAUACCCUUUAGGAAAAUAAAUCGCACCAAUAUCAUGACGGACACACAAGUAACUUGGCAGGUUUAAAAUGAAGGAAAUGCAUAAUGUGAUGCAACUAUUAGUACAUAUUCCAUUUGAAGCAACCUUAUGUCAGUUAACUCACAAAAAAGGGGGAAAAUAACAUAUUGAAAAUGCUAAAUACUCGAAUUUCCAUGAUAGCCAUAGUGACUCACUUCCUGUGUAAUGAUACUUCAGAGGUGUUCUUUAGAAAGAAAAUGAUUAGGUGCAGACCUGAAAUACAGAUACAAAAUAGUCAAGUUACCUGUCAUCAUGGUUAUUGAAUCACGUAAUGAAAAGCAUGGAAGAAAGAUAAGAAAAGUGCUUCCAUUAUGUAUUGGAAUACGAAAUAGUUGUUCUGACUAAGCUUUUUAAGUGUAAGAAUGAACAGCAUAUCUUGCAAACUCUAUACACAACAUGCCUGCCAUAUUUGGCAGCUGAACUUAAGCUCCUCAUCCAUCCAUUUUAGAGCCCCAUUCUUAAAAUAAAACAGGGUUAUUGUUCAUGCAUAAAAAUCCUAUCAUUCUACAAAGGGGGAGCUUAAGUCAGAGGUGGGAAGUUAUUCUAAAUUUUCUGAAACCCAAAGACAGAUUUCAAACAAACUUCUUCCAAUCUAGAAAUCUAGAAAGCCUGACCAGUCCGAAAAGAGAUACUGUAAUUAAAAGAAAAACAUAUAUGUAUCAGUACAAAGGGAGUUCUGUUUACGACAACGCAUGAACAUAUAGUGCUACAUCCCUGUAAUAGCAUCUAUGACAACCAUCUAGAGAUUUGAACAAUAAAAAUGAAUGAUAAAGGGAUCUACAUGAAGCAAUACAAUGGUGUAGGAUCAUGGAGAAAAGUAAAAUAUCUGCGAUCUUCAAUCUUGCAGGCACACAUAGUGUUGGCCUUGUUUCCUGCGGAUCGUCGUUCUGUUAGGAACAUUUGGCUUCAGGCCUUUGGCUCUUCACCUCAAACCAUUUUCUUUAGUAAAUAAUAUGCAAAUAAACCCACAUCGAACCCAUGAGUUGGCGCGG